This 108-nucleotide small RNA is filed under the name Chryseobacterium nakagawai. Its description in RNAcentral is "Flavo-1 RNA". Lineage: Bacteria; Pseudomonadati; Bacteroidota; Flavobacteriia; Flavobacteriales; Weeksellaceae. The record is from RNAcentral.
CCCUAGCCCCGAUAGAAACGGUUACCCCACAGUAUGGGUUGGAGCGUAGAAGGGUUUGGGUGUAGGAGUGUGUGGCGCGAGGAGUAUGAGUGGAUAGCGGGAGAUAGC